CCCAGAUGGGAUUAGCUUGUUGGUGAGGUAACGGCUCACCAAGGCGACGAUCCCUAGCUGGUCUGAGAGGAUGACCAGCCACACUGGAACUGAGACACGGUCCAGACUCCUACGGGAGGCAGCAGUGGGGAAUAUUGCACAAUGGGCGCAAGCCUGAUGCAGCCAUGCCGCGUGUAUGAAGAAGGCCUUCGGGUUGUAAAGUACUUUCAGCGGGGAGGAAGGUGUUGUGGUUAAUAACC
RNAcentral lists this ribosomal RNA (239 nucleotides) under Salmonella enterica subsp. enterica serovar Welikade. Its description in RNAcentral is "partial 16S ribosomal RNA". It matches the Rfam family "Bacterial small subunit ribosomal RNA", at positions 230 to 468 of the family's 1533-position model. The record is from RNAcentral. Lineage: Bacteria; Pseudomonadati; Pseudomonadota; Gammaproteobacteria; Enterobacterales; Enterobacteriaceae.